AGUAGAAUAUCGUAGUGUAGUAUACAGUAGUGUGGUAUAUACAUAAUAGUAUAGCAUAUUUAUGUAUCAGUAUGUAGAACUAACCUGUCUGUGCAACUCCUCCACACAGAGAAGAAGUCGACCAACUGGUGGAAUUUCUGCGCAGAGAAGAAGUCGACUAACUGGUGGAAUUUCGGCGCAGAGAAGGAGUCGACCAACUGGUGGAAUUUCUGCGCAGGUAAACGUUGACGUCACCACGCCUCCACGUGAUCGCUUGUGUGAUGAUGCUGCGAU
Non-coding RNA from Petromyzon marinus (sea lamprey), 273 nucleotides. Lineage: Eukaryota; Metazoa; Chordata; Hyperoartia; Petromyzontiformes; Petromyzontidae. The record is from RefSeq and is a predicted model, not a curated record.